GAUGAACGCUGGCGGCGUGCCUAAUACAUGCCAGUCGAGCGAACGGACGAGAAGCUUGCUUCUCUGAUGUUAGCGGCGGACGGGUGAGUAACACGUGGAUAACCUACCUAUAAGACUGGGAUAACUUCGGGAAACCGUAGCUAAUACCGGAUAAUAUUUUGAACCGCAUGGUUCAAAAGUGAAAGACGGUCUUGCUGUCACUUAUAGAUGGAUCCGCGCUGCAUUAGCUAGUUGGUAAGGUAACGGCUUACCAAGGCAACGAUGCAUAGCCGACCUGAGAGGGUGAUCGGCCACACUGGAACUGAGACACGGUCCAGACUCCUACGGGAGGCAGCAGUAGGGAAUCUUCCUCAAUGGGCGAAAGCCUGACGGAGCAACGCCGCGUGAGUGAUGAAGGUCUUCGGAUCGUAAAACUCUGUUAUUAGGGAAGAACAUAUGUGUAAGUAACUGUGCACAUCUUGACGGUACCUAAUCAGAAAGCCACGGCUAACUACGUG
Molecule: ribosomal RNA, 497 nt
Filed under: uncultured bacterium
Lineage: Bacteria
Description: partial 16S ribosomal RNA
Rfam family: Bacterial small subunit ribosomal RNA
Source: RNAcentral